Molecule: non-coding RNA, 194 nt
Filed under: Peribacillus deserti
Lineage: Bacteria; Bacillati; Bacillota; Bacilli; Caryophanales; Bacillaceae
Description: 6S RNA
Rfam family: 6S / SsrS RNA
About the family: E. coli 6S RNA was the first non coding RNA to be sequenced, but its function was unknown until recently. It consists of 184 nucleotides that fold into an extended hairpin structure with a large single-stranded internal bulge. The 6S RNA specifically associates with RNA polymerase holoenzyme containing the sigma70 specificity factor.
Source: RNAcentral
AACACGCUGCUGUGUACGUUGUAAAUAAUUAAGUUUUAACCUUUAAGCUGUAAUAGGGAGUUUUAUAUCGAGACAGGAAUGACAAGCCUUCGUCUAUAGGACAGGGAGGACAUGCAGGAACGUCUUUGCAAACACCCACUUUGAGGAGUGGUGGUUUAAAACUUUCUUAUAGGAUACGGCAUAUGCGGCAAUAA